Molecule: long non-coding RNA, 863 nt
Organism: Piliocolobus tephrosceles (Ugandan red Colobus)
Lineage: Eukaryota; Metazoa; Chordata; Mammalia; Primates; Cercopithecidae
Exons: 2
Source: RefSeq, a predicted model, not a curated record
GAGUGUGCACUCUGAAACUUUAAUUUGCCUGUUGUAUGGGACACACACAGGACUAAGAGACACAUGUAAAAUGCAUGGGGUCUUGGCACAGGGAAAGGGCCAUAUGUUUCUUAAAAACAGUCUCUGGCAGCUCUGAAACACUUCCCUGCAGGGGAGAUGAAUGUGCGUGCUCCUCAGACCCUCCUUAGGAGGACUUCCCGGCCGAGGGCCUUUUCUGGCCAUAUAUGUGGAUGAGGGUCUGCGCCUCCUCCCGGCUGACAGCCUGUGGCAUCUGCAGUGGGGCUGUCUGUGGCUGGCACCUGUGGACACAGAACCAGGAGACACAAGCCAGCCUUUACUGGAGCAUGUUAGAGCCAGGAUGCGCCUCUCACCUGAGCUGUUCAGCGUGCUGAUGACAGAGGUUAACUCUUCACACUCCUGAUGAAAUCUGUGAAGUGCAUAGAGUCUGCCCUUGCCCUCGGGCCCCUCCACAGCCGGUGUCAGAAUCAACAGGUGGACAGAGCUCCAGACCCUGGCCCCUUACCGCUGGCCACAGCAUCCUGAGCACCCUGCCCAGAACCUCCGGCCUCGGGUUCCUCUUCUGCGGAAAGCAGAUGAUGACGCCUGCAUCACGGACGGCAUAGUUGGGACGGCGGAGUGACCACAGACUGGGGAAGCGACUUGGGACGGUCACUGUGGCUGAGUUAGCAGUGGGCUGCUUGUUGUUUUCUUCUGUUUGUGGCGAUCCUUUCUUUCCCAAGUGACCCCUGUUUUGUGACAUUCAUUCUUCCCAUUUGUCAUUGAAAAUCGUUGCUGGUCUGUAUACACAGCAUAGUGCUGUUCUAAUAAAAACCAACGUUCUAAUAAAAACCAGUGCCAGAAAA